RNAcentral lists this ribosomal RNA (492 nucleotides) under uncultured bacterium. RNAcentral describes it as "partial 16S ribosomal RNA". It matches the Rfam family "Bacterial small subunit ribosomal RNA", at positions 29 to 507 of the family's 1533-position model. The record is from RNAcentral.
AGUGAACGCUGGCGGUAGGCCUAACACAUGCAAGUCGAACGGCAGCACAGUAAGAGCUUGCUCUUACGGGUGGCGAGUGGCGGACGGGUGAGGAAUACAUCGGAAUCUACUUUUUCGUGGGGGAUAACGUAGGGAAACUUACGCUAAUACCGCAUACGACCUACGGGUGAAAGCAGGGGAUCUUCGGACCUUGCGCGAUUGAAUUAGCCGAUGUCGGAUUAGCUAGUUGGCGGGGUAAAGGCCCACCAAGGCGACGAUCCGUAGCUGGUCUGAGAGGAUGAUCAGCCACACUGGAACUGAGACACGGUCCAGACUCCUACGGGAGGCAGCAGUGGGGAAUAUUGGACAAUGGGCGCAAGCCUGAUACAGCCAUACCGCGUGGGUGAAGAAGGCCUUCGGGUUGUAAAGCCCUUUUGUUGGGAAAGAAAAGCAGCAGGUUAAUACCCCGCUGUUCUGACGGUACCCAAAGAAUAAGCACCGGCUAACUUCGUG